RNAcentral lists this ribosomal RNA (440 nucleotides) under uncultured bacterium. Its description in RNAcentral is "partial 16S ribosomal RNA". It matches the Rfam family "Bacterial small subunit ribosomal RNA", at positions 338 to 795 of the family's 1533-position model. The record is from RNAcentral.
CCUACGGGAGGCAGCAGUGGGGAAUAUUGCACAAUGGGGGGAACCCUGAUGCAGCGACGCCGCGUGGGUGAAGGAGUACUUCGGUACGUAAAGCCCUAUUAGCAGGAAAGAAAAUGACGGUACCUGACUAAGAAGCCCCGGCCAAAUACGUGACAGAAGGCGGGGGUAUACGUAGGGGGCAAGCGUUAACCGGAUUUUCGGGGUGUAAAGGGAGCGUAGACGGCAGUGCAAGUCCGGAGUGAAAGCCCGGGGCUCAACCCUGGGACGGCUCUGGAAACUGCAAAGCGGGAGUGCGGGAGGGGCAGGCGGAAUUCCUGGUGUAGCGGUGAAAUGCGUAGAUAUCAGGAGGAACACCGGCGGCGAAGGCGGCCUGCUGGACCGAAACUGACGUUGAGGCUCGAAAGCGUGGGGAGCAAACAGGAUUAGAUACCCUUGUAGUC